CUGGGUUCGAUUGCCGGUGGAGUCGUUCUUUAAAAUUAGAACAAAAUAAAAGCAUAGAUUGACCCAACAAGCAAGUUACGUGGGCAACCCUUCUCUUCUGCAACCCUCACUGGUGGUGGGUUGGGUUGGAUUGCUGAAUAGGAGAAGAGAGGAUGACGGUGUUUCACUUCUUCAAUUGUGCUAUUCUCACCUUCGGCCCUCACGCUGUCUACUACUCCGCCACGCCCCUUUCGGAGUAUGAUACACUUGGUACCUCUGUUAAAGCAGCUCUUGUUUAUCUUGGCACAGCCCUAGUAAAGCUUGUAUGUCUGGCAACUUUUCUUAAAGUAUCUGAAACUGACAGCUUCGAUCCAUAUCAGGAAUUGUUGAAAGCGCUAAUUGGUUUUAUAGACGUUGCUGGCCUUUACUUCGCCUUGACCCAGUUGACUCACAGGAAUAUCUCUCAAAAUCAUAAGUUUCAAGCAGUAGGACUUGGAUGGGCUUUUGCUGAUUCUGUUCUGCAUAGAUUGGCACCUCUUUGGGUGGGUGCUAGAGGACUAGAGUUCACUUGGGACUACAUUUUACAAGGCCUUGAGGCAAAUGCAAAUCUGGUGCUGAGCAUAUCCCUUGCUGCUUUGGGUUCUUUAAUGUGGCUUCGGAAAAACAAACCCAAGACUUUGAUUCCCAUAAUAUAUGCAUGUGCAGGCGUUGUUGCAACCAUGCCAUCUAUUACAAGCUAUCUAAGGCGUGGCCUGGGGUGGCACUUUCCUAAGGUUGUAGGCUUUGAACUCUUCACCUCUCUGGUGAUGGCUUUCAUCAGUUGGCAGCUAUUUUCUGCAUGUCAGAGUCAAAGAUCCUCAUGAGGAAGAACAUGGAUAACCUUUCAACUGGCAAUUUAACCAUAAAAGGGGUUCCAUGAUAUCUGAUUCCUCGAGAAAACCGACUGCAAACCCAUAAGGACAACACCAUACAUGAUUCCAGCAGUCUUGAAUGGUUGGGAUUGCUAUAUAGCCCACAGAAUACUGUUUGGACUCGCCAGCAAUCACCGAGCGGAAAGCAUCCUAUAUUGAUAUGUUUAGAUAUCAAAAAUGGGCUUCCACGAAGCUUGCUUAAACCUAAAAGAUUUGCGAACUUACAUGCCGCUUGUUAACAUGUUAAAUUUUUAUUUUUUGUUUUCUUUUGUUUUUUCGUUAUAAAUUAUGUGUAAUUUAUUUAUUUUAAUAAUUUAUUAAUAUAAUUAAAUAUCA
Molecule: RNA transcript, 1226 nt
Organism: Ziziphus jujuba (common jujube)
Lineage: Eukaryota; Viridiplantae; Streptophyta; Magnoliopsida; Rosales; Rhamnaceae
Exons: 8
Source: RefSeq, a predicted model, not a curated record